UCGUUUAGAAAAACAUGUUUUAAACAGCAACCAUGUGGCUUUCCUCCAUCUUGGUUGGUGACCUCAUAGGCAGCCACGUGGCUGAUGACCAUCUUUUACUAAAGGUUACAAGCCUCUGUUCAGAUUAACAAAAGCUAACUUGGAGAUUUACACCUGAGUACUUAAGUCUUUGCUAAGUGUUCAACAGUAAACUUCAAGAGAAUUUAAAGAGAUGGCUACAUGUGUUUAAUAAGGUAUUUGAUGAAUGUUAAAGCUGCAUCUCAAUGCUGUUAUAGACAAGAAUGUACCUUGCUCUGGCAGCUGAACUUUGUAAUUUAAGAGUCACUCAGGUGAUAGUCACCAGGAAUUGAGAUGUUCAUUUCUUGUGAUGCAGCAAGACAAUGACCUAGGCAAAGGGCUUGGAACAGCUUCUGACUCCAUGAGCCUCCACCCUUUGGGGGUUGAAAAACCUUUUUACAGGGGUGGCCCAGGACCAUGUGUACAUCAGAUAUUUGCAUUGAUAUUUGUAACAAAGGCAAAACUGCAAUUAUGAAAUAGCAUUGGGAAGUUGAGAACCAGUGAUGUGGAGAAUGUUUCUCCUUACUCAAGGUCUAUUCAGGCAUUAGAAUGUGUGUCUAGCCUCUUUGUCAUUGCUAAAUUUGUUAAGCUUAAGCUAUUUGGAUAACUGAGUCAUAUAAAUGUUUUAUAUUGAUACUAGAAGGAGCUUAGGGCCCUUCCACUAACAUGUCCAUUGUGUUUUAGUUUCUUUACUGAACCCAUACUUGAUACUAGAAGAGCUUCGAUUCAAAAUCAUUGUUUUUAAGGUACUUAUUGUAGACUGUUAGAGAACAUAAGUAAAUAGUCAUCUUAUAAAUAAUCAAGUUCUUUAAUUGUAGUCAUGCUAAGUACUGAAGUAAUAAAUUACAGGAAUAACUGUAUAUGUUUUAAUAUGUUUUCAGGGUUGAGUUUAAAACAAGUAACUAGAAACAAAGUUUGUCUAUUCAGAUGUACCUGGACAGCUCUCAUACUUCAGAGAUCUGCAGAAUAUGGCAUUUAAAAUGUUGAUCUAAAAGCUUAUUAUAUUGGAGAGACUCCCAGAUCCUAGCAGUGACUCAAGGUCUCCAAAGAAGAUAACAUAGAGGGCACCACAUUGUCUCUGCCUAGAUUAUGGCAACACUGACCACAGGGCAAGAUGCCCCCACAAUGCAACACCUGUCACCAGGACCCGGCACAGACUGUGGGAAAAACUCUCCUUUAUGUGUCUGAUGGCUGAAGAAGAUGAUGUUGUUCUGAUAUUUGUGCCUCCAAUGCUGUGGAGACCUGGAUAUGGACUGGUCCCUGUCAUUUAUAGAUUUGGAAGCUGCUUGGUCUGCACUCAGAUGUAAUUUAUCCUUCUAUCAUCUCUGAUAGUACUGACAGCUAGGCUAGCUAUAACUUUGUCAGGUUGGCAACAUCAAACAACCAGAUCCUUCUGCAAGGCUAUAGCCAGCUUGUUAGCUCAUUUUUAAGAAAAUGUUCUAAGAUAAAAGUUUAAACAAGUUAUAAAGGUUUAAAUAUGGGUCUAAGAAAGGUCUAAGGAUAUGAAAGCUUUUAAGCUUUGAGGAUCGCAGAAAAUAAUUUAAGAUAUAAAUGCAAGUUGUAAAGAUAUAGAUAAAUGAUUUAGAUUAUGAGAAAUGUUUUAGAUUGCUCUCUCCUUCUAUGAUAUAACAGUUCAGAGCUUAACAUUUAAUAGAGUUCUGAUAACCUGGUAGAGCAAUGACUUCUUACUGUUCAAUCACAAGCUCAACAUUUGAAAUUUAUUUUGGUUGUGUUCUAAAUAUAAACUUAAAAAUGCUCAUCAGGCCAAAAAAAAUCUCUGUCCAAUUUAUACCUGACUCUCUGGACAGAAGGAAACUGCACAAGCUUUUAGCCCAAAUCUGUAGUUUUUGCUAGGACUCAAAGGUAUGAUUCUACUUAUGCUAUUUUACAGAUACCCAUCACCUGCUUUGUCUAUGAUAUGGAUAUCAGUACAGAUUGGUAAUAUUAAUGUAUCUAAAAUUUUUAUGUCAUUUUGUAAGAUAGUUUGUGUAGGCCUCAGAGGACUUAAAAAGCCUGAUUCCACUUCACAGGGUCGGAAGAACUUCAGGUAAGUACAGCUUAAAUUUCCCCCACUUGUCUAUUCCUAAAGAUGAUAUUUUUUUUCUCUCCUGGUCUCAGAACUCCAGCUCUUUCCAAUUACUAAGAAUACGGGCCUAAAAAUUCCAAAUAAGUUCAUAAAUUUUAACUUCUGUUCCUAGUUUAAAUUUGUCUCAACAGGUUUACACUUGGCUGGAAGACACCUCCAAGCUUCAGUUGCUGACUACACUGCUCUGGAGGACUACGAGCUCUGGACUUGCUAAAAGCUGACAUGGACCAGCCCAGCCAACAUGAUUGUUCCCUGUCUCUACAGUGGGUUAAGCUAGCCACAUGCUUCUGACAGAUGCCCCAUUGCCCAGCCUUUGGCUAGCAUUUCAGCCUUUUGGGGCCCUGACAAUGGUGCCCCAAUGUCAGCUUGAAGCAGUUCCAGAGGAGACUACAUUGUCCCAUGUUCCCUGCCCAAAAUAGCUUGAAAUGCUGGUUCAAAAGGAAACUCCCUGGCACAGGGGCAAGAUAAGAUAGCCAACCAUAAUGUCCAUUGACAUACCAGAAAAAUAGGUUCAGAGUUGUCAGUUGAUAAGAUUAUUAACUGAAAUGGCUCUGUAAUAAGAUAAGAUACUUGACCUACUUUGUGCAGAACCAAAGAGGUAUUAUGGGUUGUACUCAGAGAUCAGAACUACAGGGCCUUAAGAAUGGUAAUAGAUACAGAUGUCGCUGCCCUAGAAAAAUCUGUUAGCUGAUGGUUCUUAGGUCCCAAUUCCCUUGAAUCCCUGGACAGGUAGAACUCAUGAUUGAGUUAUGUCAUUGGUACUUGUGAAGGGGGGGGGGAGGCGGAUGUGGGAAUGGUAAAACAGCUUGACCACACAGCUGCCAUGACAGGCUUAGAGGCCCAAACACAGCUUCUGGCAGGCAGCACCUGGACCCAGGAAAAGCCAUAAGCUGACCCCACCCAGUGUGGCCUUCAUCUAAGAGGAAAUGCCUGACAUUCCAAAUACUCCCUAUACCUCUAGACAAAUGUCAGCCAAUCAGGGUCCUGAACCCUGGAAAUCCCCUCACCCCAACCUCUGCUAUGAUAAAAA
Non-coding RNA from Peromyscus maniculatus bairdii (prairie deer mouse), 3173 nucleotides. Lineage: Eukaryota; Metazoa; Chordata; Mammalia; Rodentia; Cricetidae. The record is from RefSeq and is a predicted model, not a curated record.